GGCGCGUGCGUGGCUUUCGGGUUGACCUCGAGCUCUCGAGCUAUGGCCGCCGGUGUCUCGCCCCGUCGCGGACUCGCGGUUGCGACCGAUCAAUACAUAAAUAAUCCUAGGCCUUGCCGCAGAGGAUGGAAGAACACGACGGCAAAAGGCUUCCUCGUCACGAUCCAAUUUGAACAGCGAACGUCAAAUUUUGAACAGGGAACGGCAAAUUCAUCCAAUCCGAACUGGGAAUCGAUGCAAGGUGGUCAAGUGGAUGGCUGCGUUCAGAUGAACCUAACAUUGUAUUGACCAAGCUGAAACUCUGAACAAAAUAUAAACAGGAAAUCAAACACAUGUGCACGCAUUCGUAAUA
Oryza sativa Japonica Group (Japanese rice) is the source of this 352-nucleotide non-coding RNA. NCBI's taxonomy places the organism in Eukaryota, Viridiplantae, Streptophyta, Magnoliopsida, Poales, Poaceae. The record is from RefSeq and is a predicted model, not a curated record.